This 1522-nucleotide ribosomal RNA is filed under the name metagenome. RNAcentral describes it as "bacterial SSU rRNA". It matches the Rfam family "Bacterial small subunit ribosomal RNA". The record is from RNAcentral.
GGGUAUGAUACCGGCUCAGAACGAACGCUGGCGGCGUGGAUCAGGCAUGCAAGUCGAACGAGAAAUCCGGUUUCGAUCGGAGAGUAUAGUGGCGAAAGGGUGAGUAAUGCGCAGAUAACCUGCCCAUCAGUGGGGGAUAACUGCUUGAAAAAGCAGCUAAUACCGCAUGUGGCCUAUUAUCUCAUGAUUUUAGGUCAAAGGUUGGGGCCCUUCGGGGUAGCCGCUGAUGGAGGGGUCUGCGUCCUAUUAGCUUGUUGGUGAGGUAACGGCUCACCAAGGCAGAGAUGGGUACGGGGCCUGAGAGGGUGUUCCCGCACACUGGGACUGAGACACUGCCCAGACUCCUACGGGAGGCUGCAGUCGAGAAUCAUUCGCAAUGGACGAAAGUCUGACGAUGCGACGCCGCGUGGACGAUGAAGGCCUUCGGGUCGUAAAGUCCUGUCAGGAGUGAGGAACUGCCAUGGCAACCCAAUGCCAUGGUUUGACGUAAGCUCCAGAGGAAGCCACGGCUAACUUCGUGCCAGCAGCCGCGGUAAUACGAAGGUGGCAAGCGUUGUUCGGAAUCACUGGGCAUAAAGGGCAUCUAGGCGGCGAGGUGUGUCGGUUGUGAAAUCCCUCGACUCAAUCGAGGAACUGCAUCCGAAACUAUCUUGCUAGAGUUCAGAAGGGGAGAGCGGAAUUCCUGGUGGAGCGGUGAAAUGCGUAGAGAUCAGGAGGAACACCGGUGGCGAAGGCGGCUCUCUAGUCUGAAACUGACGCUGAAGUGCGAAAGCCAGGGGAGCGAACGGGAUUAGAUACCCCGGUAGUCCUGGCCGUAAACGAUGGGCACUACGUAGAGGGGGCCCGACGCCUUCUCUGCCGGAGUUAACGUAUUAAGUGCCCCGCCUGGGGAGUAUAGUCGCAAGGCCGAAACUCAAGGUAAUUGACGGGGGCUCACACAAGCGGUGGAGCAUGUUGCUUAAUUCGAUGAUACGCGAGGAACCUUAUCCUGGGCUUGACAUGUAUGGAUUAGCCUGCUGAAAGGUAGGUGACGCUCUUGAGUGGAACAUACACAGGUGCUGCAUGGCUGUCGUCAGCUCGUGUCGUGAGAUGUUAGGUUAAGUCCUUUAACGAGCGAAACCCUUGUCCUUAGUUGCCAGCGUGUUAUGACGGGGACUCUAAGGAGACUGCCGGUGUUAAACCGGAGGAAGGUGGGGAUGACGUCAAGUCCUCAUGGCCCUUAUGCCCAGGGCUGCAAACGUGCUACAAUGGUCGGUACAGAGGGAUGCAAGACCGCAAGGUGGAGCGAAUCCCAAAAAAAACCGGCCCCAGUUCGGAUUGGGGGCUGCAACUCGCCCCCAUGAAUGUUGGAAUCGCUAGUAAUCGGAGAUCAGCUACGCUCCGGUGAAUAUGUUCCUGAGCCUUGUACACACCGCCCGUCAAGCCAUCCGAGUUGGGUACACCCGAAGUCGCUGCUCUAACCCGCAAGGGAAGAAGGCGCCGAAGGUGAAUCUGGCAAGGAGGACUAAGUCGUAACAAGGUA